GAUGAACGCUGGCGGCGUGCCUAAUACAUGCAAGUCGAGCGAACGGACGAGAAGCUUGCUUCUCUGAUGUUAGCGGCGGACGGGUGAGUAACACGUGGAUAACCUACCUAUAAGACUGGGAUAACUUCGGGAAACCGGAGCUAAUACCGGAUAAUAUUUUGAACCGCAUGGUUCAAAAGUGAAAGACGGUCUUGCUGUCACUUAUAGAUGGAUCCGCGCUGCAUUAGCUAGUUGGUAAGGUAACGGCUUACCAAGGCAACGAUGCAUAGCCGACCUGAGAGGGUGAUCGGCCACACUGGAACUGAGACACGGUCCAGACGCCUACGGGAGGCAGCAGUAGGGAAUCUUCCGCAAUGGGCGAAAGCCUGACGGAGCAAGGCCGCGUGAGUGAUGAAGGUCUUCGGAUCGUAAAACUCUGUUAUUAGGGAAGAACAUAUGUGUAAGUAACUGUGCACAUCUUGACGGUACCUAAUCAGAAAGCCACGGCUAACUACGUG
RNAcentral lists this ribosomal RNA (497 nucleotides) under uncultured bacterium. RNAcentral describes it as "partial 16S ribosomal RNA". It matches the Rfam family "Bacterial small subunit ribosomal RNA", at positions 28 to 507 of the family's 1533-position model. The record is from RNAcentral.